RNAcentral lists this ribosomal RNA (253 nucleotides) under uncultured bacterium. RNAcentral describes it as "partial 16S ribosomal RNA". It matches the Rfam family "Bacterial small subunit ribosomal RNA", at positions 524 to 776 of the family's 1533-position model. The record is from RNAcentral.
UACGUAGGGUGCGAGCGUUAAUCGGAAUUAUUGGGCGUAAAGCGCGUGUAGGCGGCUUUGCAAGUCGGGUGUGAAAGCCCUCAGCUCAACUGAGGAAGUGCGCCCGAAACUGCAGAGCUUGAGUACCGGAGAGGAUGGCGGAAUUCCCCAAGUAGAGGUGAAAUUCGUAGAUAUGGGGAGGAACACCGGUGGCGAAGGCGGCCAUCUGGACGGAUACUGACGCUGAGACGCGAAAGCGUGGGGAGCAAACAGG